RNAcentral lists this ribosomal RNA (428 nucleotides) under Libanasidus vittatus (king cricket). RNAcentral describes it as "partial 16S ribosomal RNA". Lineage: Eukaryota; Metazoa; Arthropoda; Insecta; Orthoptera; Anostostomatidae. The record is from RNAcentral.
CCUGCUUUAACAAAAACAUGUCUUUUUGACUUAGAAAUCUGUAAAGUCUGACCUGCCCCCUGAUUAAAUUUGAAGGGCCGCGGUAUUUUGAUCCGUGCAAAGGUGAGCAUAAUCAUUAGUCUUUUAAUUGAAGGAUGGAAUGAAUGGUUUAACGCGGUAUUAACUGUCUCAUUAUAAUUUUUUGAACUUAACUUUUCAGUUAAGAAGGGUACAAAUGGAAUUAUUGGACGAGAAGACCCUAUAGAUCUUUAUAUCCCUAUUGUUAAAAUUAUUUCCGGGAUUUCUAAUUGUUUUAUGUAAUUUUGAAGUAAAUUUCAUUUGGUUGGGGUGACUUGCAAGAUUUAUAAAAGCUCUUUACGUGAUCAUAAACAUAGAUUUAUGGAAAAUUGAUCCAUUUAUAGUGACUUAAAAGACUAAGUUCCCUUAGG